GUGCAUGUGGUGUAGUGGUAACACGUUGCGGGGGCCAGGAGGUUCUUGAAACAUAAGACCAGGUAAGGGUCUUAUGGUCUCUGUAGGGUCCUAGCAGAGUCCCCAGUUCGAACCUGGGUGUUGCACU
Dichotomopilus funicola is the source of this 127-nucleotide non-coding RNA. The record is from the annotation of a RefSeq genome assembly. NCBI's taxonomy places the organism in Eukaryota, Fungi, Ascomycota, Sordariomycetes, Sordariales, Chaetomiaceae.